UAACCACUCAAGCCUCGGCUUGGUCUUAGGGUUCGCGGUUUCGCGGCCCUUAAAAUCAGUGGCGGUGCCGUCUAGCUCUAAGCGUAGUAAUUCUCUCGCUAUAGGGUCCAGGUGACCACCUGCCAUAACCCCCAUUCUUUAC
Molecule: unclassified non-coding RNA, 142 nt
Filed under: uncultured Helotiales
Lineage: Eukaryota; Fungi; Ascomycota; Leotiomycetes; Helotiales
Description: sequence contains ITS2
Source: RNAcentral